UUAAGUUAUUAAGGGCGCACGGUGGAUGCCUUGGCACUAGAAGCCGAUGAAGGACGUUACUAACGACGAUAUGCUUUGGGGAGCUGUAAGUAAGCUUUGAUCCAGAGAUUUCCGAAUGGGGAAACCCAGCAUGAGUUAUGUCAUGUUAUCGAUAUGUGAAUACAUAGCAUAUCAGAAGGCACACCCGGAGAACUGAAACAUCUUAGUACCCGGAGGAAGAGAAAGAAAAUUCGAUUCCCUUAGUAGCGGCGAGCGAAACGGGAAGAGCCCAAACCAACAAGCUUGCUUGUUGGGGUUGUAGGACACUCUAUACGGAGUUACAAAGGACGACAUUAGACGAAUCAUCUGGAAAGAUGAAUCAAAGAAGGUAAUAAUCCUGUAGUCGAAAAUGUUGUCUCUCUUGAGUGGAUCCUGAGUACGACGGAGCACGUGAAAUUCCGUCGGAAUCUGGGAGGACCAUCUCCUAAGGCUAAAUACUCUCUAGUGACCGAUAGUGAACCAGUACCGUGAGGGAAAGGUGAAAAGCACCCCGGAAGGGGAGUGAAAUAGAACCUGAAACCGUGUGCUUACAAGUAGUCAGAGCCCGUUAAUGGGUGAUGGCGUGCCUUUUGUAGAAUGAACCGGCGAGUUACGAUUUGAUGCAAGGUUAAGCAGUAAAUGUGGAGCCGUAGCGAAAGCGAGUCUGAAUAGGGCGUUUAGUAUUUGGUCGUAGACCCGAAACCAGGUGAUCUACCCUUGGUCAGGUUGAAGUUCAGGUAACACUGAAUGGAGGACCGAACCGACUUACGUUGAAAAGUGAGCGGAUGAACUGAGGGUAGCGGAGAAAUUCCAAUCGAACCUGGAGAUAGCUGGUUCUCUCCGAAAUAGCUUUAGGGCUAGCCUCAAGUGAUGAUUAUUGGAGGUAGAGCACUGUUUGGACGAGGGGCCCCUCUCGGGUUACCGAAUUCAGACAAACUCCGAAUGCCAAUUAAUUUAACUUGGGAGUCAGAACAUGGGUGAUAAGGUCCGUGUUCGAAAGGGAAACAGCCCAGACCACCAGCUAAGGUCCCAAAAUAUAUGUUAAGUGGAAAAGGAUGUGGCGUUGCCCAGACAACUAGGAUGUUGGCUUAGAAGCAGCCAUCAUUUAAAGAGUGCGUAAUAGCUCACUAGUCGAGUGACACUGCGCCGAAAAUGUACCGGGGCUAAACAUAUUACCGAAGCUGUGGAUUGUCCUUUGGACAAUGGUAGGAGAGCGUUCUAAGGGCGUUGAAGCAUGAUCGUAAGGACAUGUGGAGCGCUUAGAAGUGAGAAUGCCGGUGUGAGUAGCGAAAGACGGGUGAGAAUCCCGUCCACCGAUUGACUAAGGUUUCCAGAGGAAGGCUCGUCCGCUCUGGGUUAGUCGGGUCCUAAGCUGAGGCCGACAGGCGUAGGCGAUGGAUAACAGGUUGAUAUUCCUGUACCACCUAUAAUCGUUUUAAUCGAUGGGGGGACGCAGUAGGAUAGGCGAAGCGUGCGAUUGGAUUGCACGUCUAAGCAGUAAGGCUGAGUAUUAGGCAAAUCCGGUACUCUUUAAGGCUGAGCUGUGAUGGGGAGAAGACAUUGAGUCUUCGAGUCGUUGAUUUCACACUGCCGAGAAAAGCCUCUAGAUAGAAAAUAGGUGCCCGUACCGCAAACCGACACAGGUAGUCAAGAUGAGAAUUCUAAGGUGAGCGAGCGAACUCUCGUUAAGGAACUCGGCAAAAUGACCCCGUAACUUCGGGAGAAGGGGUGCUCUUUAGGGUUAACGCCCAGAAGAGCCGCAGUGAAUAGGCCCAAGCGACUGUUUAUCAAAAACACAGGUCUCUGCUAAACCGUAAGGUGAUGUAUAGGGGCUGACGCCUGCCCGGUGCUGGAAGGUUAAGAGGAGUGGUUAGCUUCUGCGAAGCUACGAAUCGAAGCCCCAGUAAACGGCGGCCGUAACUAUAACGGUCCUAAGGUAGCGAAAUUCCUUGUCGGGUAAGUUCCGACCCGCACGAAAGGCGUAACGAUUUGGGCACUGUCUCAACGAGAGACUCGGUGAAAUCAUAGUACCUGUGAAGAUGCAGGUUACCCGCGACAGGACGGAAAGACCCCGUGGAGCUUUACUGUAGCCUGAUAUUGAAAUUCGGCACAGCUUGUACAGGAUAGGUAGGAGCCUUUGAAACGUGAGCGCUAGCUUACGUGGAGGCGCUGGUGGGAUACUACCCUAGCUGUGUUGGCUUUCUAACCCGCACCACUUAUCGUGGUGGGAGACAGUGUCAGGCGGGCAGUUUGACUGGGGCGGUCGCCUCCUAAAAGGUAACGGAGGCGCUCAAAGGUUCCCUCAGAAUGGUUGGAAAUCAUUCAUAGAGUGUAAAGGCAUAAGGGAGCUUGACUGCGAGACCUACAAGUCGAGCAGGGUCGAAAGACGGACUUAGUGAUCCGGUGGUUCCGCAUGGAAGGGCCAUCGCUCAACGGAUAAAAGCUACCCCGGGGAUAACAGGCUUAUCUCCCCCAAGAGUUCACAUCGACGGGGAGGUUUGGCACCUCGAUGUCGGCUCAUCGCAUCCUGGGGCUGUAGUCGGUCCCAAGGGUUGGGCUGUUCGCCCAUUAAAGCGGUACGCGAGCUGGGUUCAGAACGUCGUGAGACAGUUCGGUCCCUAUCCGUCGUGGGCGUAGGAAAUUUGAGAGGAGCUGUCCUUAGUACGAGAGGACCGGGAUGGACAUACCUCUGGUGUACCAGUUGUCGUGCCAACGGCAUAGCUGGGUAGCUAUGUGUGGACGGGAUAAGUGCUGAAAGCAUCUAAGCAUGAAGCCCCCCUCAAGAUGAGAUUUCCCAACUUCGGUUAUAAGAUCCCUCAAAGAUGAUGAGGUUAAUAGGUUCGAGGUGGAAGCAUGGUGACAUGUGGAGCUGACGAAUACUAAUCGAUCGAAGACUUAAUCAA
Molecule: ribosomal RNA, 2921 nt
Filed under: Staphylococcus aureus
Lineage: Bacteria; Bacillati; Bacillota; Bacilli; Caryophanales; Staphylococcaceae
Description: bacterial LSU rRNA
Rfam family: Bacterial large subunit ribosomal RNA
Source: RNAcentral